AUAUUAAUCAAAGUCGAAGCCUUUGUCUAAUCUCCUUUUUGUAAAACAUUAUUUUUGUAAUAUUCUUAACUUAAUUAAUGAUCACUUCCAUUAUGCUACCAUUUUAUGCGCACCAUGUUUUUAAAUGCAAUAGCCCACAACGAAAUAGUUAACUAUACAUCAAUUUCUCUUGAAGUUAGAAGGAAGUCCCUGUUAUUUGUAAUUUUAUACACCAUACAUCUAUGAAGUUUCUUAUUUCUUAUUUAACUCUUCUAUAGAAGAUGCUAUUCCUAAAGGUUGUUGUUGACACCCAAAAAGCUCCUCGGUAGACAUGUUCCUCUCCGGCACAUCACUUGGUGGAUCUAGAGGGGCAACCAUCAGCUUAUGAAAAAGGGCAACUAAACUGGCUGCUAUUGUUCCUUACCAAGAGUAAUUUCCCCAGUGCCUAACAUACAAUUUGGUUUGUUGCAUCAUGAUAAGGUCUUCAUGAUGUGCACAGGCAUGCGUAUUUUUACAUUUAAUCUGUUUUCCUAUCUUACAUCCAUGCAUUCACAUAUUAGAGGAUAAAUAUGUUGCAGGCUCUUAUCUACAUGCAUGAAUGUUAAAUCUGUAUCCAAUGGUAAAGUUGGCUUUAUCAGGUGACCUGGGCUAGACCUUUCCACAUAUAUACUGUAUUAUUGGCGCACAAUAUAUUUCUAUUCUAAAUUUUUGACUUUAUCAAAUUUAUAUUGCAGGAAAAAGGAUCAUGGAAUAACAUGCGAGGUGUAUAUUGUUGUUAGCAUCUGCUUAUUUUGAUGCAUUCUAUUUGCAUACAUAUACCAAGUUUUUCGUCAAAUACAUAUAUUGCAGGACAAUGGAUGAUCGAGUAGCACUCAAGAUGGCAAGGUGGUUGAGAUUUACGAACUGUUGUAUCUUGAGGACUCAUGAUGCAGUUGUAUGUUGAUACAUGUAGAUUUAUGACUAUUGCCAUAUCAUCCAGUGUAUCUAUCUAUCUAUGUCUCCUUAACUUCAACAUAUUUACCUUGAAUAAUUAUGGUUUAAUACAUGUUCUUUCUCUAUUAGUGAUCUGAGUUUUAUUGGUUUACACCCCCUUGGUUCAAACAUUAUUAUUCUCUACUUUAGACAUUUAUAUAACUAAA
Molecule: long non-coding RNA, 1118 nt
Filed under: Triticum aestivum (bread wheat)
Lineage: Eukaryota; Viridiplantae; Streptophyta; Magnoliopsida; Poales; Poaceae
Description: long non-coding RNA (TAES_LNC002789)
Source: RNAcentral